This 495-nucleotide ribosomal RNA is filed under the name uncultured bacterium. RNAcentral describes it as "bacterial SSU rRNA". It matches the Rfam family "Bacterial small subunit ribosomal RNA", at positions 30 to 518 of the family's 1533-position model. The record is from RNAcentral.
AUUGAACGCUGGCGGAAUGCUUUACACAUGCAAGUCGAACGGCAGCACGGGGGCAACCCUGGUGGCGAGUGGCGAACGGGUGAGUAAUACAUCGGAACGUGCCCAGUCGUGGGGGAUAACGUAGCGAAAGUUACGCUAAUACCGCAUACGAUCUACGGAUGAAAGCGGGGGAUCGCAAGACCUCGCGCGAUUGGAGCGGCCGAUGUCAGAUUAGGUAGUUGGUGGGGUAAAGGCUCACCAAGCCGACGAUCUGUAGCUGGUCUGAGAGGACGACCAGCCACACUGGGACUGAGACACGGCCCAGACUCCUACGGGAGGCAGCAGUGGGGAAUUUUGGACAAUGGGCGCAAGCCUGAUCCAGCCAUUCCGCGUGCAGGAUGAAGGCCCUCGGGUUGUAAACUGCUUUUGUACGGAACGAAACGGCGCUCUCUAAUACAGGGCGCUAAUGACGGUACCGUAAGAAUAAGCACCGGCUAACUACGUGCCAGCAGCCGA